This is a small nuclear RNA of Oryctolagus cuniculus (rabbit), 107 nucleotides long. The record is from Ensembl. Lineage: Eukaryota; Metazoa; Chordata; Mammalia; Lagomorpha; Leporidae.
AUGCUCACUUCAGCAGCACAUAUACUAAAAUCGUAAUCAUAGAGCGGAGAUUAGCAUGGCCUCUGCCUGAGGACAACACACCACUUCAUGAAACAACCCCUAUUUCU